GAACCUCGAUGAAGACGACGAAGAAGAAGAACAU
Molecule: small RNA, 34 nt
Filed under: Arabidopsis thaliana (thale cress)
Lineage: Eukaryota; Viridiplantae; Streptophyta; Magnoliopsida; Brassicales; Brassicaceae
Description: ATSL001570
Source: RNAcentral